Molecule: ribosomal RNA, 1148 nt
Filed under: human gut metagenome
Description: bacterial SSU rRNA
Rfam family: Bacterial small subunit ribosomal RNA
Source: RNAcentral
UAUUGGUCAAUGGCCGAGAGGCUGAACCAGCCAAGUCGCGUGAGGGAUGAAGGUUCUAUGGAUCGUAAACCUCUUUUAUAAGGGAAUAAAGUGCGGGACGUGUCCCGUUUUGUAUGUACCUUAUGAAUAAGGAUCGGCUAACUCCGUGCCAGCAGCCGCGGUAAUACGGAGGAUCCGAGCGUUAUCCGGAUUUAUUGGGUUUAAAGGGUGCGUAGGCGGCCUUUUAAGUCAGCGGUGAAAGUCUGUGGCUCAACCAUAGAAUUGCCGUUGAAACUGGGGGGCUUGAGUAUGUUUGAGGCAGGCGGAAUGCGUGGUGUAGCGGUGAAAUGCAUAGAUAUCACGCAGAACUCCGAUUGCGAAGGCAGCUUACUAAACCAUAACUGACACUGAAGCACGAAAGCGUGGGGAUCAAACAGGAUUAGAUACCCUGGUAGUCCACGCAGUAAACGAUGAUCACUAGCUGUUUGCGAUACACUGUAAGCGGCACAGCGAAAGCGUUAAGUGAUCCACCUGGGGAGUACGCCGGCAACGGUGAAACUCAAAGGAAUUGACGGGGGCCCGCACAAGCGGAGGAACAUGGGGUUUAAUUCGAUGAUACGCGAGGAACCUUACCCGGGUUUGAACGCAUUCGGACCGAGGUGGAAACACCUUUUCUAGCAAUAGCCGUUUGCGAGGUGCUGCAUGGUUGUCGUCAGCUCGUGCCGUGAGGUGUCGGCUUAAGUGCCAUAACGAGCGCAACCCUUGCCACUAGUUACUAACAGGUAAAGCUGAGGACUCUGGUGGGACUGCCAGCGUAAGCUGCGAGGAAGGCGGGGAUGACGUCAAAUCAGCACGGCCCUUACAUCCGGGGCGACACACGUGUUACAAUGGCGUGGACAAAGGGAGGCCACCUGGCGACAGGGAGCGAAUCCCCAAACCACGUCUCAGUUCGGAUCGGAGUCUGCAACCCGACUCCGUGAAGCUGGAUUCGCUAGUAAUCGCGCAUCAGCCAUGGCGCGGUGAAUACGUUCCCGGGCCUUGUACACACCGCCCGUCAAGCCAUGGGAGCCGGGGGUACCUGAAGUCCGUAACCGAAAGGAUCGGCCUAGGGUAAAACUGGUGACUGGGGCUAAGUCGUAACAAGGUAGCCGUACCGGAAGGUGCGGCUG